Molecule: ribosomal RNA, 481 nt
Filed under: uncultured bacterium
Lineage: Bacteria
Description: bacterial SSU rRNA
Rfam family: Bacterial small subunit ribosomal RNA
Source: RNAcentral
ACGCGAAAGGGGGGCAACCCCCGAGUAGAGUGGCGAACGGGUGAGUAAUACAUCGGAACGUGCCCAGUAGCGGGGGAUAACCUCUCGAAAGAGAGGCUAAUACCGCAUACGACCUACGGGUGAAAGAGGGGGAUCGCAAGACCUCUCACUAUUGGAGCGGCCGAUGUCGGAUUAGCUAGUUGGUGGGGUAAAGGCCUACCAAGGCGACGAUCCGUAGCUGGUCUGAGAGGACGACCAGCCACACUGGAACUGAGACACGGUCCAGACUCCUACGGGAGGCAGCAGUGGGGAAUUUUGGACAAUGGGCGCAAGCCUGAUCCAGCCAUGCCGCGUGGGUGAAGAAGGCCUUCGGGUUGUAAAGCCCUUUCGGCUGGGACGAAAAGGUCCGUGCUAACACCACGGAUCCAUGACGGUACCAGCAGAAGAAGCACCGGCUAACUACGUGCCAGCAGCCGCGGUAAUACGUAGGGUGCAGGCGUUA